RNAcentral lists this ribosomal RNA (497 nucleotides) under uncultured bacterium. RNAcentral's name for it is "partial 16S ribosomal RNA". It matches the Rfam family "Bacterial small subunit ribosomal RNA", at positions 28 to 507 of the family's 1533-position model. The record is from RNAcentral.
GAUGAACGCUGGCGGCGUGCCUAAUACAUGCAAGUCGAGCGAACGGACGAGAAGCUUGCUUCUCUGGUGUUAGCGGCGGACGGGUGAGUAACACGUGGAUAACCUACCUAUAAGACUGGGAUAACUUCGGGAAACCGGAGCUAAUACCGGAUAAUAUUUUGAACCGCAUGGUUCAAAAGUGAAAGACGGUCUUGCUGUCACUUAUAGAUGGAUCCGCGCUGCUUUAGCUAGUUGGUAAGGUAACGGCUUACCAAGGCAACGAUGCAUAGCCGACCUGAGAGGGUGAUCGGCCACACUGGAACUGAGACACGGUCCAGACUCCUACGGGAGGCAGCAGUAGGGAAUCUUCCGCAAUGGGCGAAAGCCUGACGGAGCAACGCCGCGUGAGUGAUGAAGGUCUUCGGAUCGUAAAACUCUGUUAUUAGGGAAGAACAUAUGUGUAAGUAACUGUGCACAUCUUGACGGUACCUAAUCAGAAAGCCACGGCUAACUACGUG